RNAcentral lists this ribosomal RNA (1265 nucleotides) under Bacillus spizizenii. RNAcentral describes it as "bacterial SSU rRNA". It matches the Rfam family "Bacterial small subunit ribosomal RNA", at positions 95 to 1346 of the family's 1533-position model. The record is from RNAcentral. Lineage: Bacteria; Bacillati; Bacillota; Bacilli; Caryophanales; Bacillaceae.
GCGGCGGACGGGUGAGUAACACGUGGGUAACCUGCCUGUAAGACUGGGAUAACUCCGGGAAACCGGGGCUAAUACCGGAUGCUUGUUUGAACCGCAUGGUUCAAACAUAAAAGGUGGCUUCGGCUACCACUUACAGAUGGACCCGCGGCGCAUUAGCUAGUUGGUGAGGUAACGGCUCACCAAGGCAACGAUGCGUAGCCGACCUGAGAGGGUGAUCGGCCACACUGGGACUGAGACACGGCCCAGACUCCUACGGGAGGCAGCAGUAGGGAAUCUUCCGCAAUGGACGAAAGUCUGACGGAGCAACGCCGCGUGAGUGAUGAAGGUUUUCGGAUCGUAAAGCUCUGUUGUUAGGGAAGAACAAGUACCGUUCGAAUAGGGCGGUACCUUGACGGUACCUAACCAGAAAGCCACGGCUAACUACGUGCCAGCAGCCGCGGUAAUACGUAGGUGGCAAGCGUUGUCCGGAAUUAUUGGGCGUAAAGGGCUCGCAGGCGGUUUCUUAAGUCUGAUGUGAAAGCCCCCGGCUCAACCGGGGAGGGUCAUUGGAAACUGGGGAACUUGAGUGCAGAAGAGGAGAGUGGAAUUCCACGUGUAGCGGUGAAAUGCGUAGAGAUGUGGAGGAACACCAGUGGCGAAGGCGACUCUCUGGUCUGUAACUGACGCUGAGGAGCGAAAGCGUGGGGAGCGAACAGGAUUAGAUACCCUGGUAGUCCACGCCGUAAACGAUGAGUGCUAAGUGUUAGGGGGUUUCCGCCCCUUAGUGCUGCAGCUAACGCAUUAAGCACUCCGCCUGGGGAGUACGGUCGCAAGACUGAAACUCAAAGGAAUUGACGGGGGCCCGCACAAGCGGUGGAGCAUGUGGUUUAAUUCGAAGCAACGCGAAGAACCUUACCAGGUCUUGACAUCCUCUGACAAUCCUAGAGAUAGGACGUCCCCUUCGGGGGCAGAGUGACAGGUGGUGCAUGGUUGUCGUCAGCUCGUGUCGUGAGAUGUUGGGUUAAGUCCCGCAACGAGCGCAACCCUUGAUCUUAGUUGCCAGCAUUCAGUUGGGCACUCUAAGGUGACUGCCGGUGACAAACCGGAGGAAGGUGGGGAUGACGUCAAAUCAUCAUGCCCCUUAUGACCUGGGCUACACACGUGCUACAAUGGACAGAACAAAGGGCAGCGAAACCGCGAGGUUAAGCCAAUCCCACAAAUCUGUUCUCAGUUCGGAUCGCAGUCUGCAACUCGACUGCGUGAAGCUGGAAUCGCUAGUAAUCGCG